Molecule: long non-coding RNA, 436 nt
Filed under: Zostera marina
Lineage: Eukaryota; Viridiplantae; Streptophyta; Magnoliopsida; Alismatales; Zosteraceae
Description: long non-coding RNA (ZMAR_LNC001453)
Source: RNAcentral
AUAUUUUUGGCAUCGGCAAAAAUUCACCAUUGCCAUUAGAAUCUGAUAAUUUAAUUAGAGAGUUUGAUCGAGAGGGAAAAGUAUCAUUGAACGAUAAAAAUGGCUUUGUAUCCAAAUGUGGAGCAAUGGCUUUUUUGCUAUCUUUCACAUGGAACAAAUCGCCACAACCAUCAUUCAGAUUCGAACUGGAACCAGUUGUGGUAAUUUCGCGAGACUGAAUGUCUAGUUUGGUAGAAUGAAAAGAAACAUCAUCUAAUAUUUUUGGAGAGCUCCCUACUGGAUUCCUGACCUUGAUGCUGCCGUCGAUGAGGGAUAUGCAUGAUGCAUCAUCAUUCUUGAUGUAUUCUUCGGCAGGCUUGGUGAUAAAAUCACCCCAGGCAUCAUCAGGCAACUUAGUCUCAACAGCAGGCAUGGAUUUCAAGCCAUUGCAAAUUCG